Molecule: long non-coding RNA, 1216 nt
Filed under: Scleropages formosus (Asian bonytongue)
Lineage: Eukaryota; Metazoa; Chordata; Actinopteri; Osteoglossiformes; Osteoglossidae
Description: lncRNA (ENSSFOG00015030098.1)
Source: RNAcentral
AAAUAAAGUGUCACGUCAAAGUCAAACAGUGAACCUGGAGGCUGAGCUUAAAGAGUGAUGUGGGUGAACUCACAGCUGGGGGUGUUUACAUUCAUAGCUCUGUAAGUGCAUUUCUCGGGCUUCCUUCACCUUCAGCUGUUGCAAUGCUCAAGGAGGUUUGGCCUCACGAGGCUUGUCUUCUGCCAGCAAAAAUAAGAGGUGGACUGCGCAGUGAUGACGACUGUCUGACGAUCAGAAUCCCUCUUUAUCAUCCCACCCCCUCCUCUUUGUCCCUAUUCUCUCACCCUAUUCUUCGCCAUUCUCCGCUGUCCUUCCCACCCCCCCCUCUGUACCUCCCCUUCAGAAAAGACUGGGCUGGGGACUGAAGAUCUGUGACAGAGCCUCUCAUUUGUAAUCAGAUGAAAGCAGAGAUAAUCCCGCGCCUGACUCCAUCUUGUUCCCUGCUGUAGCGGGAGGUGGAGACGGGGGGGCGGGGACAGGGAGGGGGGGGUCACCUGUGGAUGUGAAGGAGGAGGGUGGCUUUCUUUUCCCUUCCGAGCCCCUGGACUGACAUGGGUGGUCUGGAGAGCUCUGAGGAUCCAUGAACUCUGAACCUGAAAGGCAGAGCAAGAGAGAGAGAGAGGGAAAGAGAAGGAGAGAGGGAGGUAGCUAUCAAGAGGAGCUCCAGGCCCAGUCUGUACUGACACUACAAGGUAAGCAGGGCUACUACCUACACUGAUCUUAUUCUUUCCUGAAUAAUUCCAGUACUGGCUGGUAAGGGUUUUGCCCUGAGACUGGCUCAGGUGUGGAGAGGUGAGGAGCAGGGUGUGGGUGGCAGGAACUGAGGCCACAGUUGGGCGCUUUUACCUCUACGGAGAGAAAACUGAGUGCUGACCCAGCAACACCCUAUUGUAAGGCCGGCGACAACCAGCUUCCUCGUGGUCUCCUAAAGAUCUCCGACGGCACAUGCGGACAGCGGUCCUCUGCUCGGCGUCCUCCCUGUCCCGUCACACGGCCGUGAUUUUUGGCACUUCCGUAAGAGGUCACACUUUAACUUGGACAAAGUCAGCUGACGGACACUCUUGUGCAGACGAAAUAUCUUUUGUAUAGAAUUGAUAUUUUCUGGCAAAUCUGUUUGUUGCAAAGAUCACUGAAGAUAUACCAGCGGAGGAUGAUGAUUGAAGCAAUAUAAAAUGUACUGAAAUAAAUGCACUUUUUAAAAUGAUGGUUAACUGCA